CCCAUUGCCCCAAAAUUAACCCUUAGCCCAACACCCCUACCCUUUAAUUAAACCCUAGACAUCUACAUAUAAGGACCUAGCAGCUAAAAAUAAAGGGAGGAGAUAUAGACCUACGCCUAAAAAAAAUACAUAAUCGCAUCCGCCGUUUUUCCAGGGAGCUUGGACGCAAACAGAUCUAGACAAAAAAAGAAGCUGCUACUUCUUCUUCUUAAAAACAAAAAUUAGACCUAAUACUAAGGAGCUUCAGCCGCUAGAACACUAAGGAAGCCCACCCCCCACGUAGCUUCUCCAUCGUCUUCUUCAUGGAGACAGCAAGAAAACUCCAUUGAAGCUCCCCGCCAUCGCUGACCAGCGACAACCAACAAGCAGCUGCUACUGCUUCUUUAACUCACUCACGACUGCCACAACAACCAAAACGUAGCCUUCUCUCUCAUUUUUUCUGUCGCUCCUCCGUCACCGGCGAGGUUCCUAUGCUAUCGAGGUCGUGUUCGAAUUCCGUCGUGGAUCCCAGUCGGAUUUGUUAUAGGUCCUUCAAAGGAGGUUCUUCUUAUAUAAUCUAAAGAUUUGUUAUUAAAGUCAUCUUAUUCCUUACUUAUUCAAUAUUGUUACAUGUUUGUUUUGUUUUGAUGUUUAAGUAUUUCAAGCUAGAUUCGUUUAUGUGUUCUUUAUUACUUUAAAUUUGUUUAUUGAUAUUUUGGUAGUUUCAGAAGUGGGAAUUUUGGUCCUACAUACACAUGCUGAGUCCAAGAGUAUAGUCCUUUUAAGUUUGAUUUAAAUUUCAAUAUAUUAAUAGCAAAAACAAGACCAAAUGAUCUGAAGUCCCACCGAAAGAAGUUUGAUAAUAUAAGAAAAUGCGUGUUAAAGGGACGAGCUCCUUAUCUUAGAAAAAUUGAUCUAAAAUGUAUAAGGGAUAUUUAGAACUACUUAAGGCGUUGGAAAACAUGUUCAAACUCAACAUAGGUGAAUACUCAGAAAGGAAAGGGUAUAAAGGGUCAGAAUUUGCACCUGCUUACGAAGUUAAAGAUGGUGACUUAAUGCUUGUUGGUGAUGUUCCAUGUGAUGAAAAUCUCUUCAUUUUUGGUUGUGAUUUUUUUUGUACAAUUAUAAACUGUAACUUCGUUCAAUUAGUCAGGUGCAUAAGUGAUAAAUGAAGUUCUACGUCAUUUCUCAUCAAAUGUUUCUACAAAGAAGAUCAUUUCGGACCUUUAGCUCUUUCGGUUCACUUUUCUUUGUGUGAUAGGCAGGACUAGAUAAAGUUUUAAGAUGUCGAGAUGAGGUGUUUUAAUUUCGUAGUUUGCUUUAGGUGUGUUAAUAAAAUAAAGUGUCAUAGCUACGGGUACGGUUCCCGUGACGAAGUUGUUACGCACAAUUUCCAAACCGGGGUAUGCAUUUCAUGUGACCCGUCUUCAAUUUCCAACAAGGCUAAAUAGAACGUGUCGUGAACCACGGGCACAUUUCAUGUAGCGUGGCUUACGAUGUAUUUUAAAUAACCUUGAAUUUUUCUGAAAUAAUAAAAGCGGUUUAAAAGUUAAAAAAUGCACAUAGGUUUCAAAGAUGUUUUAAAAUCAAAUAAAUAGGCCAAUAAUAACAGUUGAGCAACCGUGCUAGAACCACGGAACCCGGGAAUGCCUAACACCUUCUCCCGGGUUAACAAAAUUACUUACCCUGAUUUCUGUGUUCGCGGACUAUAAGACAGAGUCAAUCUUUCCUCAAUUCGGGAUUUAAAACCGGUGACUUGGGACACAAUAAAUUAUAUCAAGUGGUGACUCUGAAUUUUAAAUAAAAUAAUCCCGUUUCGAUUGUCACUUAAAUUAGAAAAAACUCCCUUAUAUCCUCUCGGGUGUGUAGAAAGGAGGUGGACAGCUCUGGCGACUCUACUGGGAUUAGAACUCAAAACUUCUGGUUCAGGGCUCAGAAUUCGAGCUUAGAAUAGUUGUUAUAUUUGGCUUUUAUUUAUUAUCUGGUUUUAAUUACGUGUUUGGGCCUAAUGUGCUAAAUGUUGUUUUUUACCGCUUUGAUAUUAUAUGAACUGUAUAUAAACUGCUACGCAACCCUUCUCUUCUCAUUUCGGGGAUGUGCACACUGGCGUGACUCCUCUUCUGUUAGUGUCAUACCUUAAAUUAGGAAGAGGCUCGGACAAGUUACAAAGUCUGAUGGCCUUUUGGUUCCUGGUACGUAGCCCCCCCUUCGGCUCGAGUUGUCCGCUCGGGUACACAAGUCUACAACAACAUACCCAGAUUUUGAACUUAGAAUAACUCAGCCUCAUGCCGGAUCCCUAGUAGGAAUGUUUAUUUGCAUCAUGUGCAUUUGACUUUGGGGACUCAACACAGGGGUUGAGUCCAUCUAGGACAGGUGUAUCCAAAAUAAUAGACCAUCUUGAUGCAUCCUAUGUACUACAUAUUGCAUUUCUCCAAGGGUAAAAGGGUCAUUUGGCAGACCAAUGAUAAUUGAGGGCGAGUGAAAAAAAAAAAAAGAGGGUGAAGUGUGAGAAUAAAGCAAGUAGGGCCCAGUUAUGUUUUAUGUCACACUUUUGUUAAGAAAAAGACAAAAAAAAUAUGAAAAAUUCAAAAAGAUUUUGUACUUUUUUUUAUCAUUUCCCGAAAAUCAGAAAAUCAAAAAAAAGGAAAAAGGAAAAAAAUCCAAAAAGAGUUUACAUGUUUCAUCAUUUUUUUUAAAAAAAGGACAAAAAAAUAUUUUUUCUAAAUUAGUUGCCUUUUUAAAUCUUGUCUGUAUCCGAUCUGCCCGAACUACGCGAACCUGAUUCUCAUCUCUCGGGGCGGGAUACGUAGGCAACUCACAUAGGGUCCGGCCUUCCUAGUAAAUCUUAGGUUCUUGGCUUUACGGGGUCUUAGCCAGAUUUUGCACUUCUAGCCACCUUUUGGCCAAAUAAGCCAUUUUACAAAAAUAAUCACAAUUAUGUCUUGCAUGUGUCCAACAGGAAGGGUUAUUGUCUCACAUAGCGUUCCAGGUCUUUAACUUUAUUUGGUCUUAAUUUUCUCAUAGGUAUGGAUCUACUUACCGAAGUUUGAGCAUGACAGAGCCCAGGACCAUUUAGU
RNAcentral lists this long non-coding RNA (3056 nucleotides) under Nicotiana tabacum (common tobacco). RNAcentral's name for it is "long non-coding RNA (NTAB_LNC013851)". The record is from RNAcentral. Lineage: Eukaryota; Viridiplantae; Streptophyta; Magnoliopsida; Solanales; Solanaceae.